GAUGAACGCUGGCGGCGUGCUUAACACAUGCAAGUCGAACGAGGAAUACCGAUGAAGUUUUCGGAUGGAUUCAGUAUUCCGAGUGGCGGACGGGUGAGUAACGCGUGGGUAACCUGCCCUGUACAGGGGGAUAACAGUUGGAAACGACUGUUAAUACCGCAUAAGACCACAGCACCGCAUGGUGCAGGGGUAAAAACUCCGGUGGUACAGGAUGGACCCGCGUCCAAUUAGCUAGUUGGUGAGGUAACGGCCCACCAAGGCGACGAUUGGUAGCCGAUCUGAGAGGAUGACCGGCCACAUUGGGACUGAGACACGGCCCAAACUCC
Molecule: ribosomal RNA, 326 nt
Filed under: uncultured Moryella sp.
Lineage: Bacteria; Bacillati; Bacillota; Clostridia; Lachnospirales; Lachnospiraceae
Description: bacterial SSU rRNA
Rfam family: Bacterial small subunit ribosomal RNA
Source: RNAcentral